AAAUUGUGUUUAUUUAGUCUUGGCUGUGGUGUGGUUGCUGUGCACAGGCUCUCUCUAGUCGUGGUGUGGGGGCAUCUCUUCGUCGUGGUGUGGGGGCAUCUCUUCGUUGUGGUGUGGGGGCGUCUCUUCGUUGUGUGUGGGGGCGUCUCUUCGUUGUGUGGGGGCAUCUCUUCGUCGUGUGUGGGGGCGUCUCUUCGUCGUGUGUGGGGGCGUCUCUUCGUUGUGGUUUGGGGGCGUCUCUUCAUUGUGUGUGGGGGCAUCUCUUCAUUGUGUGUGGGGGCGUCUCUUCGUUGUGUGUGGGGGCGUCUCUUCAUUGUGGUUUGGGGGCGUCUCUUCAUUGUGUGUGGGGGCAUCUCUUCAUUGUGGUUUGGGGGCGUCUCUUCAUUGUGUGUGGGGGCAUCUCUUCAUUGUGGUUUGGGGGCGUCUUUUGUUGUGUGUGGGGGCGUCUCUUCAUUGUGGUGUGGGGGCGUCUCUUCAUUGUGUGUGGGGGCGUCUCUUCGUCGUGUGUGGGGGCGUCUCUUCGUUGUGGUGUGGGGGCAUCUCUUCAUUGUGUGUGGGGGCAUCUCUUCAUUGUGUGUGGGGGCGUCUCUUCAUUGUGUGUGGGGGCGUCUCUUCGUCGUGUGUGGGGGCGUCUCUUCGUCGUGUGUGGGGGCGUCUCUUCGUCGUGUGUGGGGGCGUCUCUUCGUCGUGUGUGGGGGCGUCUCUUCGUCGUGUGUGGGGGCGUCUCUUCGUUGUGGUGUGGGGGCGUCUCUUCAUUGUGUGUGGGGGCGUCUCUUCGUCGUGUGUGGGGGCGUCUCUUCGUCGUGUGUGGGGGCGUCUCUUCGUCGUGUGUGGGGGCGUCUCUUCGUCGUGUGUGGGGGCGUCCCUUCGUCGUGUGUGGGGGCGUCCCUUCGUCGUGUGUGGGGGCGUCUCUUCGUCGUGUGUGGGGGCGUCUCUUCGUUGUGUGUGGGGGCGUCUCUUCGUUGUGUGUGUGGGCGUCUCUUCAUUGUGUGUGGGGGCGUCUCUUCGUUGUGUGUGGGGGCAUCUCUUCAUUGUGGUUUGGGGGCGUCUCUUCGUUGUGUGUGGGGGCGUCUCUUCAUUGUGUGUGGGGGCGUCUCUUCGUUGUGGUGUGGGGGCGUCUCUUUGUUGUGGUGUGAGGGCGUCUCUUCGUUGUGUGUGGGGGCAUCUCUUCAUUGUGGUGUGGGGGUGUCUCUUCAUUGUGUGUGGGGGCGUCUCUUCGUUGUGUGUGGGGGCGUCUCUUCGUUGUGUGUGGGGGCGUCUCUUCGUUGUGGUGUGGGGGCGUCUCACUGCAGUGGCUUCUCUUGUUGUGGAGCACAGGCUGUUGACGGGGCUUCGCUGCCCAGUGGCACGUGGGAUUUUCCUGGAUCAGGGAUCGAGUUCGUUUGCCCUGCAUUGGCAGGCAUAUUUUUAACCAGCGGACCAUCAGGCAAGUCCUUCUUUGUAUUGAUAUUACUGGAAGGUUUAUAUUGCUGUGUUGGUUUCAGGUGUACAGUGAAGUGA
RNAcentral lists this long non-coding RNA (1500 nucleotides) under Bos indicus x Bos taurus (hybrid cattle). RNAcentral's name for it is "lncRNA (ENSBIXG00000010050.1)". Lineage: Eukaryota; Metazoa; Chordata; Mammalia; Artiodactyla; Bovidae. The record is from RNAcentral.